CUGGACUGGUUUACAUACAACAUUCUUCAUUUAGGAAUAGGUAAAGACCUCCUUUUUCAGCAGUCAGCAGAUCAAGACCUCGGCUGUUCUGGAGGACAACUGUGGCUAGGGAACUUACCUGAGCUUGAAGAAGGGAUAGCGAUUGAGUUAAUUCUGCAGUGGUAGCAGAGACAUCAUUAGAGUGGCUACAGAAGGUGAGGAUUGAAGUGGUAAGGCCUGCUAUGCCUGUGCCGAUACCGUAGAAAUUCCUAGCCCUACAAGUAAGGGGAUCAACGGAAUGACCCACUUGUAUUGUGUUGGGACCACAAGGGGAACAAGGAGGCUUUUGUCUCUGUUGGCAAACUGAAUUUUGGCAGUAAGGAAAAGUAGGGUAAAAGCGUCUGUCCAGUUGGUGGGAAGGCAGAUGUAAGAAGAAGAACCACAGAGGAAAAGAGUCUGUGGCUUAGACAGAACUGCAAAUGUAAACUGAAAAGAGUUUCACUCUUGUUACCCAGGCUGGAGUGCAAUGGUACGAUCUCGGCUCACCACAACUUCCGCCUCCUAGGUUCAAGCAAUUCUCCUGCCUCAGCCUCCUAAGUAGCUGGGAUGUCCUCCUGUAUCUCAAAAGAACAUGUGGUAUGUACCAUCAGGUACACACACCUGGAGAUUAUCAGUCUAGCAAAAGUAAUCAACAUCCACAUAGGAGGGAAAAGCAAAUCAACAAUACCAGAAAUGGAAUUUAUCCAUCAUCAGUCCCAGAUCUCUGAGAUUCUAAUUUUGCACAGGAAUUUUAUUCAUAGCAUAUCCACAUGCCUUGAUGGAAGAUGGUUCAUCUACAGUUAC
This 822-nucleotide long non-coding RNA is filed under the name Callithrix jacchus (white-tufted-ear marmoset). RNAcentral's name for it is "lncRNA (ENSCJAG00000083621.1)". The record is from RNAcentral. Lineage: Eukaryota; Metazoa; Chordata; Mammalia; Primates; Cebidae.